Molecule: ribosomal RNA, 505 nt
Filed under: uncultured bacterium
Lineage: Bacteria
Description: bacterial SSU rRNA
Rfam family: Bacterial small subunit ribosomal RNA
Source: RNAcentral
CCUAAUACAUGCAAGUCGAGCGGUAAGGCUUUCACAGAUUAUUUAACCAGAUAAGUUCUUCGGAAAACUGUUUGCAGCGAUGAUUCCCCGGCUAGGGAAUCAGAGUUGAAUAAUGCGUGAAAGUACACGAGCGGCGGACGGCUGAGUAACACGUAGGAACGUACCCCAAAGUGAGGGAUAAGCACCGGAAACGGUGUCUAAUACCGCAUGUGAUCUUCGGAUUAAAGCUUCGGCGCUUUGGGAACGGCCUGCGCAUGAUUAGCUUGUUGGUGAGGUAAAAGCUCACCAAGGCGACGAUCAUUAGCUGGUCUGAGAGGAUGAUCAGCCAGACUGGGACUGAGAACGGCCCAGACUCCUACGGGAGGCAGCAGUAGGGAAUUUCCACAAUGGACGAAAGUCUGAUGGAGCAACGCCGCGUGCAGGAUGAAGGGUUUCGGCUCGUAAACUGCUUUUAUCUGUGAAGAUUAUGACGGUAGCAGAUGAAUAAGGAUCGGCUAACUCCGUG